UACGGGGGGAGCAAGCGUUGUUCGGAUUUACUGGGCGUAAAGGGCGCGUAGGCGGCCAGCACAAGUCAGUUGUGAAAUCUCCGAGCUUAACUCGGAAAGGUCAACUGAUACUGUGCGGCUAGAGUGCGGAAGGGGCAACUGGAAUUCUUGGUGUAGCGGUGAAAUGCUUAGAGAUUACAUGGAAUACCAAUUGCGAAGGCAGGUUACUGCUAAUGGAUUGACGCUGAUGGACGAAAGCGUGGGUAGCGAACAGG
RNAcentral lists this ribosomal RNA (254 nucleotides) under uncultured bacterium. Its description in RNAcentral is "partial 16S ribosomal RNA". It matches the Rfam family "Bacterial small subunit ribosomal RNA", at positions 524 to 776 of the family's 1533-position model. The record is from RNAcentral.